RNAcentral lists this long non-coding RNA (729 nucleotides) under Monodelphis domestica (gray short-tailed opossum). RNAcentral describes it as "lncRNA (ENSMODG00000030163.2)". Lineage: Eukaryota; Metazoa; Chordata; Mammalia; Didelphimorphia; Didelphidae. The record is from RNAcentral.
AAUAGAUUAGAUUAUUACAUUAGAAAUAAUUUAAGGUAAGUAAGUAGCGUGGUAUUGUGAUAGAGGUUUCAAACUCAGGAACUGGAAUUAUAGUCUGGGAAAUUGAUUGAGUUUCAUCCACAGCAGGGGAGGGGCCUCAGGGGAUGUUCUGGAACCUGGGAAGAGCAAGAGUUUUCUAUCAGAGAGAGGCAGUUAGCUCUCUCAAUCCUGAGAGCCUAAGGAGAGGUCUGGUCAAGACUUUGCUCCUGAGAAAAAAACUUACAUCUUCCUCCUAGUGAUUGGAUACCCUUCCCCCCACAGAUUCCCACUUGAAGUUGGGAGUGUUAGAGAAUACACCAAGCAGCUGACAAGAUUACCUCUCAGCUCCUGGUGCCCGGGGUCUGAAGUGUGCCUGUGGGGCCAAGACCAGGGCCAUCCAAGCCUGAAUCUCUCAGGGGCCCAAGGCUACCAAGAUCUGUGUUCCCCAACUUGAGGAAGGAGAGCUUACUUAUCUUUCAAAGCCAUUUCAAUUUCUCCCUCAUUCAUGAAAUACUCCCUGAUGACUUUGACCCUCUGAUCUCUCUUCCUUUUGAUGUCCCACUUGAGGAAACUUUAUUGUAUUCUGCCGUAAUCACUUGGCAGGAUUGGAUGGUUUUCAUGGUUGAAAGAGGCGAAGGUCAGUGCAGAGGAAGGGUUCCAUCCAUACUUGACCUGUUGCCAGGCCUGGUAACCUACAUCUAUUACAUCUAA